Molecule: long non-coding RNA, 5112 nt
Filed under: Brassica rapa (field mustard)
Lineage: Eukaryota; Viridiplantae; Streptophyta; Magnoliopsida; Brassicales; Brassicaceae
Description: long non-coding RNA (BRAP_LNC000760)
Source: RNAcentral
ACCAUCAACAAUUAAGCUGGUGGACAUUACCUUCAGGAAUAUUAGAGGAACAUCAGGGAACAAGGACGCAGUGAAACUAUUGUGCAGCAAGGGACAUCCAUGUGAGAACGUUGAGAUUGGAGACAUUAACAUUGACUACACAGGACCUGACGGUCCACCCACUUUCGAGUGCACAAACGUCACACCUAAGCUUGUGGGAACCCAGAACCCAAAGGCUUGCGUUGGACCUGUGGUCAAGGCUCCUGGCAAAGAGUAAAAUGCUGAAGCUCAUAUCAACACACUAGGGAAUUCCACCUCCAAUUUUGUUUAUUCUUUUUCUAAUCCUUUUUCAAGUCACAUAUGGGUGAGUUUUAGAAAACUGUAACAAAAAAAAAUGUAUAUUCGAUGCCAACACAUAUGUGUGAGUGCAUAAUGAUGUAAUUAAUAAGACUAAAUUAUAUAUUCUGCGUAAGUGCGUAUGAUUGUUUCUUUUUAAAAUAUUAAUAUGCGCGGUAAGUUGUAUACACUUCAAUCUUAAUUUUGUUUUCUUUUCCGAAUCUUAAAAUUAUUUAACAAGAUCUGAUUUCAAUCUUAAGAUUAAUUUAACUAAUACAGUAUUAGUUUUUUUUUUUUGAGAACUCAUUUUAAACUAGAACUCAAAUCAUUUCAAUAAUAGUUCACUAACAUAUAGUAUUCUUUCCAAGUUAUACUGAACUAGAACUCAAAGAUACACUUGUUCAUACAUAACCGAUGCAAGCAUUUGGACAACGAAACAUGACAUCGUCAUAAGUACACUGAUUGGAAAUGUAAUUUUCAAUCAAACUUUUGCUCUUUGCUUAUGAUCUCAUUGGAAAAAAUUUAACUUGAUAAUAUGAGGUGCAUAGUCUUCAUCUCUACUUUGGUUCAAUGCUCCUUAAUCAUGUUGGAUACUUUUUUAGGCUUCAAUAUAAAAAAGAAGUUCGGACAAAUUUAUUGAUAUUUCUAGUAAUAUUACUUCUAUGAUAUUGGUACUUCAAAAGAAUUAUGAGUUAUUAUAGAAACUAGGUUAAGAUCCAUGUUUUGCGCAUGAUGAAUUUUAUGUAUACAAAUGAUAUUUUUUUUAUUUUUAUUAUUUAUUUUGUGUUUAUUUACUUCAUAUUUAUAUAAUUAAAUUAGAGUAAACAUAUAAAUCAAAACUAUACAUCCUUUUAUUUAUAUUUUUUUUAUAAAUAAAUCAAAACAAUCAUUUUAUUUAUUUUAUAUGAAAUAUAAUUAAUUUGAAUGAUAAUGACAUAGAUAUCUAGUAAAAUUUAAUAUAACUUAUUAAUUGAGAUUUCCUACUCAUAAAAUUUUAUUAACAUUUAUAUAUAUAUAUUGCUGUAAAAAAAAUUAAACCAUCAAUUACAAAACUUUCAAUGUGAGAUUUAUUUUAAUACAAAUUUUUAAAUUAAAAUAUUAAGGUCUCAAUACUUUUAAAAUGUAAAUUUUGAAAUUAACAUGUUUAUGUAUUUUUAUAUGGUAUAUAGUUUAAUUUAAACGAUAUUAGGAUAUAUAUAUAUAUAUAUAUAUAUAUUUAUAUUUAUAUUUAUAUUUAAUAUGAAUAUCUAUUAAAUGAGACUUUAUAUUCAUACAAUUUUAUGAUAAUUUUGUAUCUUGUUAUAAUAAAAAAAAGUAGAUAAACCAUUGAUUACAAAAUUUCAAUGUGGGCUUUUAACUUUUUUAGUAAUUUAUAGUUUUUUUAAAUUCAUAAUAUAACAUAUAAGAAAAAGUCUAUAUUUUAAUCAUAUGGUUAAUGUGAUUGUAUAAUUACUUUUAAUAAUAUGAAAUUAAACAAAAUCGAUGGAGGUUACAAAAAUUGUUAUCAAAUCUUUAUUAUUCAUAAUCAUUAAUUUUCGUAUAUAUGGUAGUCGUAUUAGGUAAUUUCGUAACUUUUAUUUAGAUAAAUAAUGUAAAAUAUUCUUUUUAAUAUUACUAAUCAAUCUGAUAGUUAGUUUAAUAAUAAAAUAUAAUAUAUAUUUAGAUAGACCAUCUAUUUUUUCUAAGGAUCCUAAGCAUCAUUGUUGUAUUGAUACGUGGAUACAAAAAAAAUGUUGCAAUGCUUUUCAAUUAUAUAUAAAGGAUUAUGUGGUUGAAAGAAAUAAAAAAAAAAGUGCAAUGCAGUUAAGUAAUGAGGAACGAUUAAUUUUUGUUAUUAAAAGACGGAAGUCACGAACCACAUUAAUUAAAGUCAUCGAUUACUGACUGACCAAGCAAAGAUUAAAAAUAAAUUUUUUUUUGAAACCAGAUUAAAAAGAAAUUGACAACAAACAUACAUAUAUUAACGCAUAAAGUUACAAAAUACAUAUACAUAUUUGACAAACAAUAAUAGAAACGACGAAAUACAAACAAACACCUAAAACAAUUAAUUUUCAAAUACAGUCCAGCUUCUCCGAAAGUCGUCUCGUUUGCUUUUGAAAUGCUCUUUUUUAACUUAGUCAUAAACAUCUUCAUCUUUAUAACAAUAAUUAUUUCUUUUAUGAACUGGUUUGCCUUUUUCCCUUCAUGAUAUUGGGUUCAAUAGUUCCAACUUUUGCCUUUUGAAUUGUGUAAAUCUAUUUCACUAUUUGUUGACCAUUUGCAAUUCUUGCUUUUUUUUUUUUUUUUUUUGUCACUCUUGCUUUUCUUUCAUCAUAUCAUUUUUUGUUGUAUACAUUUCCCUUGAAUGAUGACUAACUUAUACAAAAUUGGAAUCACUUGCAUCAUUUUCGUGGAUUCUUUUAAACCCACUAUUUUAAUAGCAAAUAGUUACUUCUGCCUGACUACAAGAACCUAUUUAAUCACAGAUGAUGACGAGCCCCAUUCCAACAUGUUGAAAUGUAUAGUCUUGGCACUUGAACAUAGUUCAUGCGUUUUUUGUCAAUAUAUCAUUAUUCUCUGAUCAUCCCUUUUGUUACAUAGACGUUGUUAUUGUCAGUGCCAACCAUUAUUCCGAUAGUUUUUUCAUGUGGUGUAGUAAUUUUUCUAAACGAAGCAAUUAACAAUUUUGAAAACCAACCAAUGCUAACGUCCAUAUAUAUUUUCCGCAGCCUGCACAACAGGAUUAUCAGAACGUAAAUCUCCUGAAUUUCUUUAAGUUCUAGUACCUUAUAAAAUUCUACUAACAAUUUGAUAUCUUUUUUAGAUGGUGUAAAUGUAAUAACAUAAGUUGGCUAGAAACUAACCUCCCAAAAAUGGAGGUAUCAUGCAAAUGCUAUAAACACGAGUGGAACAAGUCUUAUGCCUAACAAUUGAACGCUAAUUUCCCAAAAUUAAAUUAACCUAGCUAAUACUUCCUUAAAACUGGGUCAAACAUUCUAAAAAAUGAGACGUUGGGAGAAAGUAUGGGCCUUCAACAUAUCUCUCCAUUUAAGGCACUAUAUAAAGCAGCAGGUGCGUAGUAAAAAUCUCAGAAAACAAAAUUAAAAAACAAUAAAAAAUAAAAAUAAAUAAAUAAAAAUGGGUUCAUAUUUGGGAAUCUAUACAAUUUUGGUUCUAUGUUUGCUAGGAUAUUCGGCCAAUGCUGAGGUGUUCACUGCUGGUGGUCCUCCAAAUUCUGAUAUUACCGCGGUUAGUAUCUUCACUUGUUUUUUAUUGCUUGCAUUCCAAUCAAUAUGUAAACCAUUUCUUAUAUUAACAUGCUCGUGGGAGCUAUUGUUGCAGGCAGUUCUUAAAGCAUUCACAUCGGCAUGUCAAGCUCCGGCACCAAGCCAGGUGCUGAUCCCAAAAGGUGACUUCAAGCUUGGUGAGACCGUGAUGACUGGUCCAUGCAAAUCUCCAAUCGAGUUCACCUUGCAAGGCAACGUGAAAGCUGACGGUGGCUCUACCCAGGGAAAGGAUAGAUGGGUUGUGUUCGAAAAAAUUAAUGGUUUUAAGUUGAACGGAGGUGGAACAUUUGACGGUGAAGGCAAUGCAGCUUGGAAAGCCAAUAACUGCCACAAGACUUUUGAGUGCAAGAAACUUCCCAUCGUAGGUGUUUCUGUCUUUAAUAUAUUAACACCAAUGGCUUUUUUUAAAGAUGAUAUAAUUCAGUGAUGCAUGCUAUCUUUCAGAGUGUAAGGUUUGAUUUUGUGGAUAACGCUGAGAUAAAAGACAUAACCUCAUUAGAUGCCAAAAACUUCCACUUCAACGUUAUCAGCGGCAAGAACAUGACCUUUGAUAACAUCAAGAUCAUCGCUCCAGCUGAAAGCCCCAACACUGACGGUAUCCAUUUGGGAAGAUGUGAGGGAGUCAAGAUCCUCAACACUAAGAUCGCCACAGGAGAUGACUGCAUCUCCGUGGGAGAUGGGAUGAAGAAUCUCCUCAUUGAGAAAGUUGUGUGCGGUCCAGGACACGGAAUCAGUGUUGGAAGCCUUGGAAGGUACGGAUGGGAGCAAGAUGUCACUGACAUUAACGUUAAGAACUGUACCCUCGAGGGAACCGACAACGGUCUGAGGAUCAAGACAUGGCCAUCUGCCGCUUGCACCACCACUGCUGCCGGUAUUCAUUUUGAGGAUAUCAUCCUUAACAAAGUUAGCAACCCAAUCCUCAUCGACCAGGAGUACUGCCCUUGGAACCAAUGCAACAAGAACGUAAGUAUCUUUUAUUAGAUUCUAUGUCUUGCCACUAUCACCGUAUUCUAUGAAAUUGGAUAAAUUGGCUCAGCAAACAUAUUAUUCUGAUGGUUUUCUAGAUAUUUAGCAUUCACCAUUUUGGUUGAGGUUACAUAUAUAUGAUUAUGAUUCCCAAAGUUUUUUUCUAUUUGCAGAAACCAUCAACAAUUAAGCUGGUGGACAUUACCUUCAGGAAUAUUAGAGGAACAUCAGGGAACAAGGACGCAGUGAAACUAUUGUGCAGCAAGGGACAUCCAUGUGAGAACGUUGAGAUUGGAGACAUUAACAUUGACUACACAGGACCUGACGGUCCACCCACUUUCGAGUGCACAAACGUCACACCUAAGCUUGUGGGAACCCAGAACCCAAAGGCUUGCGUUGGACCUGUGGUCAAGGCUCCUGGCAAAGAGUAAAAUGUUGAAGCUCAUAUCAACACACUAGGGCUUCCACAUCCAAUUUUGUUUAUUCUUUUUCUAAUUCUUUUUCAAGUCACGUAAGGAGACUUUUACAAAGCUGUAACAAAAAAAAUGUUUCUAUCGAUGCCAAC